RNAcentral lists this non-coding RNA (29 nucleotides) under Rattus norvegicus (Norway rat). The record is from RNAcentral. Lineage: Eukaryota; Metazoa; Chordata; Mammalia; Rodentia; Muridae.
UCCUUUAUGAACUACUGGAAGUGAUAAUC